UACGUUCCCGGGCCCUUGUACACACCGCCCGUCAAGCCAUGGAAGCUGGGGGUGCCUGAAGUCGGUGACCGCAAGGAGCUGCCUAGGGUAAAACUGGUAACUAGGGCU
This 108-nucleotide ribosomal RNA is filed under the name uncultured bacterium. RNAcentral's name for it is "partial 16S ribosomal RNA". It matches the Rfam family "Bacterial small subunit ribosomal RNA", at positions 1367 to 1482 of the family's 1533-position model. The record is from RNAcentral.